This 387-nucleotide ribosomal RNA is filed under the name uncultured bacterium. Its description in RNAcentral is "bacterial SSU rRNA". It matches the Rfam family "Bacterial small subunit ribosomal RNA", at positions 29 to 417 of the family's 1533-position model. The record is from RNAcentral.
AUUGAACGCUGGCGGCAUGCCUUACACAUGCAAGUCGAACGGUAACGCGGGGCAACCUGGCGACGAGUGGCGAACGGGUGAGUAAUAUAUCGGAACGUGCCCAGUAGUGGGGGAUAGCCCGGCGAAAGCCGGAUUAAUACCGCAUACGACCUACGGGUGAAAGCGGGGGAUCGCAAGACCUCGCGCUAUUGGAGCGGCCGAUAUCAGAUUAGGUAGUUGGUGGGGUAAAGGCCUACCAAGGCAACGAUCUGUAGUUGGUCUGAGAGGACGACCAGCCACACUGGGACUGAGACACGGCCCAGACUCCUACGGGAGGCAGCAGUGGGGGAAUUUUGGACAAUGGGGGGCAACCCUGAUCCAGCAAUGCCGCGUGAGUGAAGAAGGCCU